Molecule: ribosomal RNA, 496 nt
Filed under: uncultured bacterium
Lineage: Bacteria
Description: partial 16S ribosomal RNA
Rfam family: Bacterial small subunit ribosomal RNA
Source: RNAcentral
AUGCACGCUGGCGGCGUGCCUAAUACAUGCAAGUCGCGCGCACAGACGAGGAGCUUGCUCCUCUGACGUUAGCGGCGGACGGGUGAGUAACACGUGGAUAACCUACCUAUAAGACUGGGAUAACUUCGGGAAACCGGAGCUAAUACCGGAUAAUAUAUUGAACCGCAUGGUUCAAUAGUGAAAGACGGUUUUGCUGUCACUUAUAGAUGGAUCCGCGCCGCAUUAUCUAGUUGGUAAGGUAACGGCUUACCAAGGCGACGAUGCGUAGCCGACCUGAGAGGGUGAUCGGCCACACUGGAACUGAGACACGGUCCAGACUCCUACGGGAGGCAGCAGUAGGGAAUCUUCCGCAAUGGGCGAAAGCCUGACGGAGCAACGCCGCGUAAGUGAUGAAGGUCUUCGGAUCGUAAAACUCUGUUAUUAGGGAAGAACAAAUGUGUAAGUAACUAUGCACGUCUUGACGGUACCUAAUCAGAAAGCCACGGCUAACUACGUG